Molecule: ribosomal RNA, 821 nt
Filed under: Aulactinia veratra
Lineage: Eukaryota; Metazoa; Cnidaria; Anthozoa; Actiniaria; Actiniidae
Description: partial 12S ribosomal RNA
Rfam family: Bacterial small subunit ribosomal RNA
Source: RNAcentral
AGGGGAAGACUCACAUAGAGGCAGCAGUAGAGAAUCUUGUGCAAUGAACGAAAGUAUGACACAGAGAGGACACAUUUAAUUGAGCCCGUCAAAUUAAGUGCCAGCCGACGCGGUUAAACUUAAGGGCUGGUCUUUAUAAGUAAAAAGGCGUAAAGGAUGUGUAGGCCAAGAAACGACCCAAGUAGGUAAAUGGAAUUUUUCUGGAGCGGUAGAAUGUAAGGAUAGAAAAUAGAAUUCCUAAGGUAAAAACUAUUUACCACAAGGUAGGCUGAAACAUGAGAGUGUGGGGAGCAAACAGGAUUAGAGACCCUGGUAGUCCACACUGUGAACUUUGAAGAUGAUGCUUAGCAGACCCGAAAGGUAAAAUCUUCCGCCUGAGUAGUACGAUCGCAAGAUUAAAAUUCAAAAACUUUGGCUGUUCACUAUUUCGAUUAGAGGAGCGUGUAGUUUAAUUCGAUGGUCCGCGUGUUACCUUACCCCAACUUGAAUCUGUGACCGGUAUUGCAUGGCCGUCGUAAGUUCGUGUAUUAAGCUAGAAGGGACCCAACCCGGGCAUUUGCCCGGAGGAAGUCAGGUCUUAUGAUCCGAAUGUUGGGGGAUUUUAUGCGCUACAUUUUCUUAUAUAAUGGGAAACCUGGAAGGUGAGCCUCUAAAGUAAGAGUUCGGAAGGUCGCUGUAAGACGACUGGAAGUUGGAUUUAAUAGUAAUCGGAAAGUAGGGCGUUCCGGUGAAUUGGUACAAGUGUUAGCACAAAUUGCCCGUCACCUUUACCUAGAACGGUUAUUCGGACGUCUUCGGUGAUUACGAAUGCCUACGAGGUA